CUGCUGCCUUCCGUAGGAGUUUGGGCCGUGUCUCAGUCCCAAUGUGGCCGGUCACCCUCUCAGGUCGGCUACUGAUCGUCGGCUUGGUAGGCCGUUACCCCACCAACUACCUAAUCAGACGCGGGUCCAUCUCAUACCGUCAAGGCUUUGGCCCCUGUGCCAUGCGGCACUGUGGUCUUAUGCGGUAUUAGCAGUCAUUUCUAACUGUUAUCCCCCUGUAUGAGGCAGGUUACCCACGCGUUACUCACCCGUCCG
Molecule: ribosomal RNA, 255 nt
Filed under: uncultured bacterium
Lineage: Bacteria
Description: partial 16S ribosomal RNA
Source: RNAcentral